This 62-nucleotide transfer RNA is filed under the name Macrocheles glaber. RNAcentral describes it as "tRNA-Gly". The record is from RNAcentral. Lineage: Eukaryota; Metazoa; Arthropoda; Arachnida; Mesostigmata; Macrochelidae.
AUUUUAUUAGUAUAAAAUAGUACAACUAACUUCCAAUUAGUAAGUUCUUUUAGAAUAAAAUA